UCUCUCUCUCUCUCUCUCUCUCCAAACGCAUAAAACUUCUAGAUUCAUCUCUCUAUUUUAUUUCUUCAUCUCUCCAUCUAUCCUUCUGUGAACGAACCCUAAUCGUCAAUAGUUCGAGAUUUUGUACUGCUUUUUGAAAUUCAGAUGGCAAGACCGUUAAUAGAUCAAACCCUGUUUGAUUUUAUGGGUUUCAAUAAAGAAUCGUUGAAGGUGUUCAAGAUUUCAUGGGUUUCCAUGAAGAAUAAUUGAAGGUGUUCAAGGGUUGUUCAAAGGAUGUGAUGUUUCUUUCAUCAGUCAAUCUUUUAUGUUUUUGUUACUUAUUUGUUAGUUUUGGUUUAUGAUUACAUAGAAUAAAUGAUUUUUAUGAGAAGAAACAAGUAGAUCUAGUUCAUCGACUCAUCACUAGGUAUGUUGUUAUUAUUACAGGUUUCUUUUAAUCCCAAUUGAGACGCAAGGCUUCUUAUAUUGUGGUUUAUGAGUUUAGUAGUAAUUGGUUUAUGUAAAUUAUAUUUAGUGAGAAAUCUGUUUUUUUGCAACUGUUAUAUUAGCACAUGCCAAUUGGAAAA
Molecule: long non-coding RNA, 566 nt
Organism: Vicia villosa (hairy vetch)
Lineage: Eukaryota; Viridiplantae; Streptophyta; Magnoliopsida; Fabales; Fabaceae
Exons: 2
Source: RefSeq, a predicted model, not a curated record